UUUAUAAACGCACAAUAUUAUAACUGUCACACCAAAGCAAAUGUGAAUGUUAGAAAAAAGAGAAAAAGAAAAAAAACCAAGUAGUCGAUGCUAUCUAAAUUGAAUAAAUGAGAGUGCGAAGAAAUGAGAGUUUAUUUUUUUU
Caenorhabditis elegans is the source of this 142-nucleotide non-coding RNA. Lineage: Eukaryota; Metazoa; Nematoda; Chromadorea; Rhabditida; Rhabditidae. The record is from Ensembl.